RNAcentral lists this long non-coding RNA (1774 nucleotides) under Pelobates cultripes (western spadefoot toad). Lineage: Eukaryota; Metazoa; Chordata; Amphibia; Anura; Pelobatidae. The record is from RNAcentral.
GUAAAAUCUUGGAAUUUUAUUAAUGACACGGAGGCUCAUAUUAUGCUAGUUCAAAGCUUGGCCACUACUUGAAGUGAGAUAUGUUCUAUUGGCCGAAAAUAGAAUUCUCUGAACGUCGAUACUUGCGACCAAUCUGCCGCCUUUAAUAUGUCCUCGAGGCGACAGCCAAUCGUUGAGGCUUUGGAUGCCAUUGCGCCUCUCACCGAGUGUGCAGAGAAUUUCGAGGUGUCAAUUCCUGUUAGUGCUAACAGGUUCUUGACCCAACGAGCUAACGUGGGUGUGGACACUGGUAGAAAGGGGGUUCGAAAAGAUAUGAAUAGUUGACUUGAUUCGGGUGAGCGUAAUUUCUGAGUACAAUCCAGGUAGGACCGAAGGCAUCUAACCGGGCAUAAUGAAGGGUGUCCUGGAUAUCUCGGGUAAGAGAUAGAUUUUGUAUUGCCUUUAGUUCUUCUCGAUAUGGAGAAUGAUACUCCCUCUGGGGUGAAUGACAAUGCGUCCCAGUCCAAGGCUUGCACGUCCGAUAUCCUCUUGCAGGACAGUAGGCAUAAAAGAGUCAGCAGUUUCCAAGACAGGUGUUUAAGGGAGAGUUCCUCAUUUGGCGUCCAUUCCUCCAGGAAGUGUAAGGCAAUGUUGACAUCCCAGAAUGAAGAAUAGCGGGUUUGUUUCUCAAAGCGUAUCCCCUUCAGGAGUCUACAAACGAAGGGGUGUUGUCCAAUCGGGGAGCCCUCUAGAUCUCCGUGUCCUGCCGAGAUCGCCGACCUGUACAUGUUAAUGGUACGGUACGCUUUUCCUUCUUCGAAAAGGGACGUCAAAAACUCUAGUACUUCUUUCAGAGAUGCUGAAACUGGAUCCACUGACUGUUCCAUGCACCAGCUAGCCCACACUCGCCAUGCGGAGUUGUAGGCCGCUCUGGUCCCUGGAGCCCAAGAGUUGUCCAUGAGUCUUGUAACCGUCUGUGAGAUGUCUUUGAAUGUCCAGGGACUCCGGAAAUCAACCGUGAGUUGAAGCAGGCCCCGAUUGAUUAGAUUGUGCGGGUUCCCCUCCGGGUCCAAUAGCAAGUCUGGUCUCGAUGGUAUUAUUCGUGGAGAGUCGAUUGCCAUCUCUAGUAGUCGAGGAAACCACGGCUGAGCGUGCCAUAGUGGAACCACUAUCACUAGUGAACAGUCCUGUUUGCAUAGGUAUGAUAGUGUCCUGGAUAUGAGAUUGAAAGGGGGAAAUGCGUAAUGCCGAGACUUCGGCCAUUUCUGUAGGAAAGCAUCCGUCCCCAAGGCUGUUGGAUCUGGUCGCCAGCUGAAGUAUCGUGGCAGGUGACUGUUCAGUCUGGAUGCAAAGAGGUCUAUGUCUAGUGGUCCCCAUAUUUUGUCUAUCUGGCGAAAGGUAGAGCGGAGAAGAUGCCAGUCUCCCGGAUCUCGCAGAUAUCUGGAAUUCCAGUCUGCUUGUACAUUGUCUAAGCCCAGAAUGUGUUCGUCUGUCACCGCAAUCUCGUUGUGAAGGCAAAAUUGCCAAAAUUCCUUCGCUAGGUUUGCUAGUUGUUUGGAUUUGGUGCCCCCUAGAUGACUGAUAUAACAGACUGCCGAGAUGUUGUCCAUAUGGAGCAGUAUACAACAUCUCCCUACCGUAGGGGAGAGACUGCGGAUGGCGAAUGAUCCUGCCAGAAGCUCCAGGCAAUUUAUGUGUAGUUUGAAUUCUUCCAUGGACCAUCUGCCACCGGUGGAUAUGUUGCCACAACGUGCGCCCCAGCCAUGUAGGCUUGCAUCCGAUUCUAUAAUCAGGU